RNAcentral lists this ribosomal RNA (424 nucleotides) under uncultured bacterium. RNAcentral's name for it is "bacterial SSU rRNA". It matches the Rfam family "Bacterial small subunit ribosomal RNA", at positions 355 to 771 of the family's 1533-position model. The record is from RNAcentral.
UGGGGAAUAUUGGACAAUGGGGGCAACCCUGAUCCAGCAAUGCCGCGUGUGUGAAGAAGGCCUGCGGGUUGUAAAGCACUUUCGGUGGGGAGGAAAAGCGCGGUGCCAAUACCACCGUUUGUUGACGUUACCCAUAGAAGAAGCACCGGCUAACUCCGUGACAGCAGCCGCGGUAAUACGGAGGGUGCGAGCGUUAAUCGGAAUUACUGGGCGUAAAGGGCGCGUAGGCGGUCAGAUAAGUCAGAUGUGAAAGCCCCGGGCUCAACCUGGGAAUGGCAUUUGAUACUGUCUGACUGGAGUAUGGCAGAGGAGAGCGGAAUUCCCGGUGUAGCGGUGAAACGCGUAGAUAUCGGGAGGAACACCAGUGGCGAAGGCGGCUCUCUGGACCAAUACUGACGCUGAGGCGCGAAAGCGUGGGGAGCAA